GCGAGAUCGAGAGAUGGAGCAAAUCCCAAAAAUAAACGUCCCAGUUCGGACUGUAGUCUGCAACCCGACUACACGAAGCUGGAAUCGCUAGUAAUCGCGGAUCAGAAUGCCGCGGUGAAUACGUUCCCGGGUCUUGUACACACCGCCCGUCACACCAUGGGAGUCAGUAACGCCCGAAGUCAGUGACCUAACCGAAAGGGAGGAGCUGCCGAAGGCGGGACGGAUGACUGGGGUGAAGUCGUAACAAGGUAGC
Molecule: ribosomal RNA, 253 nt
Filed under: uncultured bacterium
Lineage: Bacteria
Description: partial 16S ribosomal RNA
Rfam family: Bacterial small subunit ribosomal RNA
Source: RNAcentral